UACGUAGGGGGCAAGCGUUGUCCGGAAUUAUUGGGCGUAAAGGGCGCGCAGGCGGUCUUCUAAGUCUGAUGUGAAAUCCCACGGCUUAACCGUGGAAGGUCAUUGGAAACUGGAGGACUUGAGUGCAGAAGAGGAGAGUGGAAUUCCACGUGUAGCGGUGAAAUGCGUAGAGAUGUGGAGGAACACCAGUGGCGAAGGCGGCUCUCUGGUCUGUAACUGACGCUGAUGUGCGAAAGCGUGGGGAUCAAACAGG
RNAcentral lists this ribosomal RNA (253 nucleotides) under uncultured bacterium. RNAcentral's name for it is "partial 16S ribosomal RNA". It matches the Rfam family "Bacterial small subunit ribosomal RNA", at positions 524 to 776 of the family's 1533-position model. The record is from RNAcentral.